RNAcentral lists this ribosomal RNA (451 nucleotides) under uncultured soil bacterium. RNAcentral's name for it is "bacterial SSU rRNA". It matches the Rfam family "Bacterial small subunit ribosomal RNA", at positions 26 to 473 of the family's 1533-position model. The record is from RNAcentral.
AGGACGAACGCUGGCGGCGUGCUUAACACAUGCAAGUGGAGCGACGAACCGGGCUUCGGCCCGGGGCAAAGCCGCGAACGGGUGAGUAACACGUGGGUAACCUGCCCCAAUGACCGGGACAACCCGAGGAAACUCGAGCUAAUACCGGAUGUGUUCACUGUCCACAAGGACAAUGAGAAAAGGAGCUUCGGCCUCCGCAUUGGGAUGGGCCCGCGGCCCAUUAGCUUGUUGGUGAGGUAACGGCUCACCAAGGCUUCGAUGGGUAGCUGGUCUGAGAGGACGAUCAGCCACACUGGGACUGAGACACGGCCCAGACUCCUACGGGAGCAGCAGUGGGAAUCUUGCGCAAUGCACGACAGUGUGACGCAGCAACGCCGCGGUGGGGAAGAAGGCUUUCGGGUACGUAAACCCCUUUGAAGGUAGGAACGAAGCGUACCGGUAGCGUAAAGUA